Molecule: ribosomal RNA, 256 nt
Filed under: uncultured Leptotrichia sp.
Lineage: Bacteria; Fusobacteriati; Fusobacteriota; Fusobacteriia; Fusobacteriales; Leptotrichiaceae
Description: partial 16S ribosomal RNA
Rfam family: Bacterial small subunit ribosomal RNA
Source: RNAcentral
GGCGGACGGGUGAGUAACGCGUAAGAACUUGCCCUUUAGACUGGGAUAACAGAGGGAAACUUCUGAUAAUACUGGAUAAGUUAGUAUAUCGCAUGAUAUGCAAAUGAAAGCUACGGCACUAAAGGAGAGCUUUGCGUCCUAUUAGCUAGUUGGUAAGGUAAGAGCUUACCAAGGCGAUGAUAGGUAGCCGGCCUGAGAGGGUGGACGGCCACAAGGGGACUGAGAUACGGCCCUUACUCCUACGGGGGCAGCAGCC